AGUAGGUUGUGUGUCGGAAACUAAUAAGGCUUGUCUAAGUAAUGGCGAAUGUACAGGGACAAGCUCAGUAUGAUAAUUUGAGCAAGCUGCGUUAACUUGUAGCCUUGAGUUGUGUGGCCAGUGGAGGUACAGCUUGAAACUUUUGGAAGGGAGUGUUGAUAAUGGUGCAAACCCUGUACAUCAGUUGUAGCCCUCAGCGCAUUGUGCACUUACUCAGAGUUGCGCCCCUUUGGAUUGGAGUGCAAAGCUGGUGGUAAUGUUCAUCUAAAGCUAAAUGCUUGUCUGAAUCUAAUAGCGAACAAGUACCGUGAGGGAAAGGUGAAACAGGACUUUGAACAGAGGGACAACUACGCUUGAACUUGCUGAACUGGAAAUGAAGGGAGCCAGGGCAUAUUUGGAAUAUUGCUGUGUAUUGGCCUGCCUGCCUGCUAGCUUUUGCAGCAUGCAGGUGGUGGGUGGGGUGCAGACAGUGCUUCUCCCAUUUGUCAAUCAGCUUCAGGCCACGGCGCCAGGUGAGCACCAGGGACAUGGAAUACUGCUUUUGGUGGGUGAAUGUAGCUGCAUUUGCUAGCGCUGUGUCUUGUUGGUAAUGAAAUGGCCCUUUUGCCCCGUCUUGAAACACGGAUCAAGGAGUCGAGCUUAUAUACAAGUUCUAAUGAUGCACACACACACACAUCUCCUUGCAUGAUGAACAUGCCUGUUGGGAUGUGUGCAUUAACAACCGAUUUUUCAAGUUUGGAGAUAGUGUGUGUGAGUGUACAUGCUAGGACCCGAAAGAUGGUGAACUAUGCCUGUUCAGAGCUAACUCAGGGGAAACUCUGAUGGAGGUUCGCAGUGGUACUGACGUGCAAAUCGUUCGUUAUACGUGGGCAUAGGGGCGAAAGACUAAUCGAAUCAUCUAGUAGCUGGUUCCCUCUGAAGUGUCCCUCAGGAUAGCUGGGGCUGGACAGCUGCACCAAGUAAAGCGAAUGACUAGAGGAAUUGGGGGUAUGUUGCCCUCGACCUAUUCUCAAACUCUAAAUAGGUACACGCCUACGGUUGCAUGUGUGAGCUUUGAACAUAAGUGACAACUCUAAGUGGGCCAUUCUUGGUAAGCAGAACUGGCGAUGAGGGAUGAACCUAAUGUUGGGCAAAGCAUGCCUUGUUGCUCACUCAUCAGAUACCAUAAAGGGUGUUGGCUCAUAUUAACAGCAGGACGGUGGUCAUGGAAGUUGAAAACCGCUCAGGAGUGUGUAACAACUCACCUGCCGAAUAAUC
RNAcentral lists this ribosomal RNA (1257 nucleotides) under Protoperidinium cf. conicum type B. RNAcentral describes it as "LSU rRNA". It matches the Rfam family "Eukaryotic large subunit ribosomal RNA", at positions 45 to 1306 of the family's 3401-position model. The record is from RNAcentral. Lineage: Eukaryota; Dinophyceae; Peridiniales; Protoperidiniaceae.